CAGCAGCCACGGUAAUACGAAGGGGGCUAGCGUUGUUCGGAAUUACUGGGCGUAAAGCGCACGUAGGCGGAUAUUUAAGUCAGGGGUGAAAUCCCAGAGCUCAACUCUGGAACUGCCUUCGAUACUGGGUAUCUUGAGUAUGGAAGAGGUGAGUGGAAUUCCGAGUGUAGAGGUGAAAUUCGUAGAUAUUCGGAGGAACACCAGUGGCGAAGGCGGCUCACUGGUCCAUUACUGACGCUGAGGUGCGAAAGCGUGGGGAGCAAACAGGAUUAGAUACCCGCGUAGUCCCUGUCUCUUAUAC
RNAcentral lists this ribosomal RNA (301 nucleotides) under uncultured bacterium. RNAcentral's name for it is "partial 16S ribosomal RNA". It matches the Rfam family "Bacterial small subunit ribosomal RNA", at positions 509 to 807 of the family's 1533-position model. The record is from RNAcentral.